UCUUUUUGUGGCCGUUUUUUUGUUGAAGGUAGCUAGGGGAGCUCUGUGUCGCGAGGAGGGGGCUUGCUCCAGGGCUAGGCAAGGAGGGGGAGGGGGCACCUAUGCGGCGGCGGCGGCUAGACGGUUAGGCCCGUCGCGUCGGCGGCGUCGGCUAGACGGCUAGGCCCGUCGCGUCGGCGGCAGCGACUAGACGGAUAGGCCCGUCUACGCCGGCUGCACCUAGUGCUCUUGCGGCCGCGACGGCCGCGGAGCUUAUGCAGCGGGCAGUGGUGGUGCUACCGUGGAGCGACGGCGGCGAGCCGUACCUACCGGCGGGGUUCUGUACCUAUUCGAGAGUACUAGGGGUGGGGUAGGGAGAGUAGGGGACUUAGGCAUAGGAGGAAGUAUGGUGGGUGCUAGACUAGGCCUUCUACGGGUGCUAGGCUAGGGGACCAAAGAAUAGCCCAAUAGGGGGAGAGCAGAGAGCAGAUCGUUGGGGGUAGAAGCCACACCGCUGUAACGACUGCAGCAGCGCUGGGGGGGUGUUAAGAUCCGAGCCGGAAGGAGCUGAGGUACGCACCGACUGUUCCACCAGAAGUAGGGCUCCACCAGACGAGCACGAGAGGACAAGGAGGACUUUGCCGCUCCCCAUCACGGCCAGCACCGAGUCGUCCUAUCGUAUUCGAACGGGAACAAGAAAACACAAACUUAGUCUGAACGACCAAGAGUCAAAAUGUACGUGUAUAGUUAGAAAGAAGACAUACGUCCAAUGUGUGGACUACUACAAAUGUCGCUCCGCGUCCUUGUUCGUCUCCGGCUCCUUCACGUCCGUGUGCAACGACUGGAACCGUCCACAUCCUUGGCGCGCUCCUUCCAAGUCACGCGACGUGGUCAGUCCGGUGCGGGCCCCGCGGCGCGGUUGUGUACACACACACCAGCCACCCAACCGGUUAUAGACGUAAGACGCUGAAGUAGAAGUGGUACCUGUGUUCGUCCCUGAUUAACCACCCAGAACCAUCGCCACGGCUCGUAGCCGCCUAGCUUCACCAGCUCCAGCGCCAAUUAGCUGGUCCUGCUCUGUACGUAGAACCUCGAUCGCGUCUCCCCCUUUCUUCGUCCAACCAGACCGGACCGGAGCGUUUACUUAACCUUGAAAGCCCGUUUCUUUUGUGUGUGUCCCGUCCUUGUACCGAUGAGAGCGGGAAGGUUCAAAGACUAGCUAGCUUGAGAAGCCCCUGUUCUUUUACUCUUUUCCCGUCCAGCAGCUACAUGUCUGGUGUCCACGAGUCUGCGUGCCGGCCUUAGUACCAGCAGUAUUGAGUAUUGGGUACUCCCCCACUGCUUCGUUCUUUCCUUCCAGCGGCUCUUACCACGAUUAUAGAGACAAAACCACUAUAUUCCCUAAAUCUCGUAGGUGUACUGGUACCAGCUGUUACCGGACUUCGGUUUAAAACAAAAACAAGUCUGUUUACCGGCACGCGACUUGACGCCUCGUACACCGACCACGAACGCCGUCACCAUCUCGUCGCAGCCGCUCGCACCGCGUUCGUCACCGGUCUCGACGUACCUAUCGACGUUCGUACGGUAGGUUGUGUUGUGAAGUUCAUACUGUUACAGGUGAGAUGUGGUUCUAUAACCAGUCAACCCUCUACUCCACCAAACGGUCUAUUCUUUGUCUUAUUCCUGUUAUUCCUCGCAAUUAACCUGGUACAGUACCACUCGAACCUCGUGUCUUAAAAUGUCCUCUACCAGCAGCAUUUUGACCCAUGAAUUCUAGUUCCCUUCAUAUUGUAAAAAAACUUUCGAUUCAUUUUGUUUAAAUGAAACACCCAGAUUAAAUUAAAAAGAUACAAGUAUUAAAGAACGCACUUAUCUAUCUUGUUCGGCUCGUCCCGUAGUUGAUGGAUGAGUACGAAAUCAAGUGAAAGAAUCAUAAACACAAGAAUUAGAACCAAAAGUGACCAAACACGAGAUAGGAGAGUUCGAUCUAAACUUAAACAACAGUAUCUUUGUUAAAAAAUAGCGGAAAUUAUCAUAUAUCUCUAUUAGGUCAAUACAUACGUUUUAAUACGUUCUAGGAGUCACUCCUAUAAAAAAAGACUUGGGUAAUCGUCGGAGACGUAGGAAGACGGAAUCGGACUAGUUAAAAAGGGUGACACGGUAAAAAAACGGUUGUAUUACCUUGCUUCCACAGUUUAUACGUAGGCAAGUUUUAAACCACAGUUAGCCAAAAACCUCCUAACGUACUUACAAGUAGUAUAAAGGUUAUCAUCCUAUAAUUUUUAGGGGAAAAGGGAUACUACAAAUAGAAAAGCCCAAAAUCGAUUACUGUUACAAAGAACCACACGGUCACCGGUUCACACAUAUAAUAACCUGGAAAAUGUAAGCUAUAAUUGUGAGGUCUUGAAUUGUGUAAAAAUCGGACGAUCCCUUUGAAGGUAAAUUACAAUAGUUAAAAGAACGUCGUUUGAAGUUUCAAGAACUAUGAAGACAAACGUGAAUAAAAAGUGUCCGAGCGUAUAUAAUCACAACACGUCAAAUCUAGAGUUAUACUACAGCUAAAGAAAAUGUCCAUUCCGUUCUCGAGGCGGACGACGAUGAUGCUAGCCGGCGACGGGAUGCGACCGGCUCCGACGUGUAGUAGCGGAUGAGGUGGUACGAUGUGGAACCCUAACGACCGACGGCUUCAGCUGCGGUAGACAGCGGGGAGUUGUGAAAAAAUCUUAGUACCUUUUAGAGAACCAGAGAAGUGACACGACAUUAAACAAAGAUACGAAAUGCAAAAGAACACAGUACGGAGGUCCUGAAACAAAAGAAUGAUAUCAACGUAAUCGUACUCCGAGAAGACAUUAUACGUCCUGAUGAAGGUUUGUUGUAUGUUUAACAAGAUCUACAGGGGUGUGUAAGAUAAAGGUUACGUAUCUUGGGUUUGUAUACGAAAAGCCUACAGAGCCCAUACCUUAAUUA
RNAcentral lists this ribosomal RNA (2946 nucleotides) under Triticum aestivum (bread wheat). RNAcentral's name for it is "partial small subunit ribosomal RNA". Lineage: Eukaryota; Viridiplantae; Streptophyta; Magnoliopsida; Poales; Poaceae. The record is from RNAcentral.